CAGUCGCCGCGGUAAUACGUAGGUCCCGAGCGUUGUCCGGAAUUAUUGGGCGUAAAGGGCUCGCAGGCGGUUUCUUAAGUCUGAUGUGAAAGCCCCCGGCUCAACCGGGGAGGGUCAUUGGAAACUGGGAAACUUGAGUGCAGAAGAGGAGAGUGGAAUUCCACGUGUAGCGGUGAAAUGUGUAGAGAUGUGGAGGAACACCAGUGGCGAAGGCGACUCUCUGGUCUGUAACUGACGCUGAGGAGCGAAAGCGUGGGGAGCGAACAGGAUUAGAGACCCGUGUAGUCCCUGUCUCUUAUAU
RNAcentral lists this ribosomal RNA (301 nucleotides) under uncultured bacterium. RNAcentral's name for it is "partial 16S ribosomal RNA". It matches the Rfam family "Bacterial small subunit ribosomal RNA", at positions 509 to 809 of the family's 1533-position model. The record is from RNAcentral.